Long non-coding RNA from Passer domesticus (house sparrow), 4680 nucleotides. RefSeq lists it as uncharacterized. The record is from RefSeq and is a predicted model, not a curated record. The transcript has 4 exons. NCBI's taxonomy places the organism in Eukaryota, Metazoa, Chordata, Aves, Passeriformes, Passeridae.
CCAGUCCCAGUACACCAGGACAGUCACUGGAGUUGGUGAGUGAGACACGGGACCUGCCAAAGCCUGCAGCCCUCUGAGGCACAGAUGAAUGCCAGUAUCCCAUGUGAUGGAAAAGUUGCUAUGAGAAUUUAUCAAGAGAAAUCAGAGGAAGAAGCUCCUGGAAAGACUGGUGGUCUGCUGGGAUCUGGAGGAAAUGAGUUGUGAGCUGGUAAAUUGGAUGACUCCUCUCUCAGAGUGAAGAUUAAUGGGAUAACCCUGCUACUGAUUAAAGGCAGCUGAAAAGGGGAUUGUCAACAGCAAGGGACCACUUUAUGCAUUUGCUGCUUUCAUGAGAGACUUUCUGAAGCAAUUCUUUUCAUAGCCAGUCCAUUCUCAACCUGCAAGAUCAGUGUCACUUACAACAACAGAGAAGUCAUAGAGAUUUGAGUGUCUUUUACAGAUGUGAAGUCGAUUAGUCUUCAGUCUCACUGCCACAAUCUCAAAGACCCAGUGUGUGGCCUCCAACACAUGGAAAGAUGACCAAUGUGCAAGAUGCACAGGGGACUUUUCAGAUCUGAAGCCAACAGUCUGAAAAAUAAAGUACCCAGGGAAAGUGUGUCUUCUUUCCACUGACAGUGAGAUCAGGUUCAGGGAGAAGCUAAGCAUGCAAGUUAGAUAUGAAGAAAAAAGUCAAGCAGACAGAACACCAUUGUCUUAAUUUUUCACCACACUGUAUUUGUAUUUUGUUCUUUUAAAAAGUACUUUAAUUUUGUUUUGUGCCAUCCAAAUGGAGAGUAUCUGAAUACCACUGUUAUGUUACAACUCUUUGAUAGCUUCAUGUCUUUCCAAUUUCUCUGUGCUCUACUUAAAGAAGUAGAGGAGAAACAGUCAGAUAGUAAAAAUGCCCACUGCAAUAUCGUGGCCUUAAAAAUAUCCUGUGUUUGAAUGGCAAUUCCUUUUUUUCUUAGCUGAGUUGCGUGUAAUUCUUUUCACAUAUAUGGAAUAGUCCUGGGUAUUGAGUACAGCUGGGAUUUCUGAAUACAAAUUCAACCUGACUGCAUACCAUUGAAAUAGAACUCAGUUGCUUGGAGAGUCUAUUGGAGAAUUCCUUAAGUCUCAUUAAUCACGUAUGUGGUGACACUGGAGGGGGCUCUUUACUUUUUUAUUUCUCAUUUGUCUCUGAUAUUCCCUGUUUAUUACAAAAUCCCUUCCUUUGCUGGAUUUAUAAUGUGGCUAUUUUCCAAUACAGUUGUAUCCUUUCACUCCCAAGCGGAGCCACCCAUGUGUGAGAGCUGGGAACCUGGAGCUUUUUGAUGAAUAUCCUUACUUGCCACAGAGCAAAGAGACCAUGACAGACCUUGGAGAUGCUUGAUGGUGUGGCCCACCAGGAAGAUGACAAUUACAGAUGGAGUUUGCUGAUGCUGUGUGCACAAUCAGAUUCCAGUUCCCUCUGCAGCAGAAUGUGUCUGUCCCUCCGCUGUUCUUCUCCAAGAAAUUUGUCAUUUGUUAAAGAAAUAUGCACAUCUAAUUAGGAAAUUCAUUAAUUAAUAUUAUUUGCAGCAUAGUUGCUGUCUUUUAAUAUUGAUGCUGAGCUGAAAAUUUGUGAAGAUAUUUAGGUAUCAAGAUGUCUGUGAGGCCAUGAUUGCCUAAUGGGCAUCCAGCUUCCAAUGCCUUAAACAAAUCAUCUUUCCCAUUUCUAAUUUUCUCAUGCCUUCUCCUUCUCUCUAAUCCAGAUUCCUCUCUUGAUCUGUGCAGUGGUAAAUCAUGACCACAUAUUUGAAGUUCCAGUCAGUUUUUUACACAAAGGUGAGAUGCUAGGUACAUGGAAUGGAUUUGCAGAGGGGUUUCUCCUUGUGUUGGAAGUGUGGCAAUUGAAAACACUUCAGAGGAGGCACUGCAUGCUAUUGAUACUGCACAGUUACAGCUCCAAAACUCCACUUGGUUUAUGUGCAGAUGACAAAUUUUCAAGUGCACAUGAAAAAUGUCACUUUUUUUUUGUGUGCAGUGCUCAUACCUCAUUUGUCCAUAGGCAUGAGAGCUGAGCAUGAAACCAUAAUUUUCUGUUAGGAGGCAUCUAAGGUCCUUUUCCUUGUAAGCUCAUAGCAAACAUUCUUUGUUUGGAAAAAUGUGACCUUUCAGAUGAAGAACUAUGUAUGGGUAUAGGGACCUAGUAAAAGUUGUAGAUGUGCAAAAACUUACUCACCUUGGAGAAAGAAAGGACUAAAGAGGGAUUUUAGUUCUGUUUUAAAACUUGCACUGACAUAUAUGGUGCAUUUACAAUGUAUAAGCAUUACUCAUAAAAUCACCCACACAAAUAAAUUUCUAACUACAUUUAUGGAGCCUGACACCUUUUCCCCCUCAUUCCAAACAAUACUUAGGUGGUGUUUCUUCCCCUUGUUUGAUGUGGCUUAUUCUUUUUCUGGUUUUGUGGUAGGAAUUUGACAUAAAGGACAGCACCACUGCAGUGAUUUCUAUUAAUUGUCAUGUUAAGUAACUUGAUGCUAAGAGCUACCAUAGGUGUUAACAAAAAAUUGCUUCCAGAACAUAAAUGUGUGCUGCCAGCAGAAUUUAACCUCAGGCUGUAAGAGUAACACUGAGACAUGAGGAGGCUGAAGUGGAGUUCUGCCAGAUUUCCCUGUGCAGAUUAUGCAGGUGUUUCCCUAAAAAAGAAAAGUCGAUAAUAGAUACUAUGGUAAUUUAUUUCCUCCAAAUGAUACCACAGGCAAGCAGACUUUUUGGCAUGAGUUUUGACCAGGAAAUAAUUGUGAUCUCCUCAGUAUUACUUAAAUACAUUUUUUAUAGAAAGCAUAAGGAAAUUUACGUUAAAAUAUAUCAUGUGUCAAAAUCCCUGUAUUUGAUAAAUGAAAAAUGUUGGUGGCUGUUCCCAUAAUGCUUUUUGAAUUAUAAAUAUGGGGAAGAAUCAAGAAAAUGGAAAAGAUAAAUACUUCAAAAUGAAAACAUUUGAAAUAGAGAAGGUUUGUUUUUUUUUUUUAGGAGCUCUACUUGGCAAUUUCAGGAAGAGUUUGUUAAAACUUAAACUGCUGACUCUGCACACUGGGAUGGAAGAUUGCCUUCUACUCCCUCAAUUGUCAGGGUCAGUCCAAAUAGGUAAUAGAUUGUCCCACCAUGUCCUUAGUUACAGCAGUUUAAUUUCCAAAGACACCAGCUGAAGUCAUACCUUGGUAGAGAGCAGAAGAGUAACCUGUAGGGUGGCUUCUUCUCUCAUUUAUAAUGGUGUAAAUGAGCUAAAAGCAAUGGAGGCCUGAUUCAGAAAUGGUAGAAAGUGGGAGCUGGGCUUCUAGUUUUGACCCUCCCCAAAAGCCCAUAAUAAGAACCAGAUGACUCAAAGUUGCUAAAUUCAGAUGCUAAGGGAUUCAGUAAAACACGUAUCCAGCACUUUGCAAUGACAAGCACUCACUCCUGGAGGGACAGACCCACAGGGUGACAUUUGAGCGCAGGGUAAAGCAGGUGAGAUCGGCAGCUGAGUGAACCAAGUGAGAGUAGGUGUGGCCCUGGCUGAAGUUAAACUUCACUCAGUGCACUCACCCCCUCAGCUGCCACACAGACCCCUCAGCCCACUCGAGUUGGCUUUAUUGAGCAGGCAGGAUGCAGUUCAAACCCCACUGUAGGGGUUUGAGAACUGCUGAGAAGGCUCCCAUGUAUUUGCGAGCUAUAGGAUGAGGAAUACAGACACGGUUUGCUUUGGGAAGCAGCAUUAUUGCAUGAAGGUAUCCUGGAGUGAACCAGCUUGGAAAAAACAGUCUCACAGCAGUGAUGUUGGAGUGGGAUCUUCCUCUGCACAUCCUCAUCUAUUCCCUCCCCACCAUAUAUGUACUGUAAAAUAAAACUGAACUCAGUGUUGAAAGCUUAGGAAUAUUGUGAGAAACAUUAUUCUUGGAACAACAUAUGUAUGCAUUGAGGGAUGACAAUGACUGUGCUCCAGUGUAGAGUGGUUAAGGGGGCUCCAACCACAUUUAAACUCAGCCCAUGAACCUGAUGAACAUUUUAUUCCUGUUUGCCAAAACUAAGAACUGAAAUGGAGGACAACAGAGGAAAAAAAGGAACUCAGCACAUUUACAAUGUUAAUCUAUGUGGGAUAUUAAUGAAUAAGGUUAAAAAUGGAGGGGCUUUAUUAGUGAAAAACAUAAACUGAAUACUGACCAAUGUUUGCUAUAAAUGCAAUCACAGUUUAACAGCAUUUUGAAAUGGGGGAUCUGCAAACUGAAAGCAGGCCUGGAGCUCCUGUCUGUGUCCAGGUUUCAUCCUGUCAUGGGACAACAAAUGUGUAUCAAAGUCAAGGCAUAAACUCUGCUAAUUCUUCAGUAUAACCUUUUCACAUCACUUGGCAACUGCCCAUUUAACUGAAAACUGCCUGAGGAAUAUGCUAACAAGGAGAUUUAAAGGUCUUCUUUAUAAGAUCAACAUAUCUCUCCCCCACAUAAACUCUGAGAAAAAGAGUAACUAGUAAACAGAGCUGUAAAUCCUUCUCAGUUUUUGAAUAAAAAUUUUAGCUUUAUUAAUGCAGCAAGUUUUCCUUUUCAUAAUAGGACAGAAGUACUACAAAAAGUAAUAUAAUUUUAUUUUGUUACAAAAAAAUCUGUUGAGUUCUUUCAUAUGUUUUAAUUUCUUUAAAAGGAAAUUGAUUAUGAGUGGUACUGUCAAAACCUGCUUUUAAAAAAUUUUUCAAUGCAAUUGUAAAAU